GCGGGGCUGCCCGGUGCGUCAGGUACUUCAUCCCCGGGGCCAGUAAGCAACCUCUCGGGGGUUGGCUCUGCCGGGAUCUUGGUCUCGGUAUCCGGCGCCCACCUGCACACGCAGGCUCUGGGAGGAUUGAGACGCCAACGGCCAGGGCGGCUCCGCA
Molecule: non-coding RNA, 157 nt
Filed under: Acetobacteraceae bacterium
Lineage: Bacteria; Pseudomonadati; Pseudomonadota; Alphaproteobacteria; Acetobacterales; Acetobacteraceae
Description: 6S RNA
Rfam family: 6S / SsrS RNA
About the family: E. coli 6S RNA was the first non coding RNA to be sequenced, but its function was unknown until recently.
Source: RNAcentral